GCAGCUGUAGCUCAUCUGGUUAGAGCGCUGGUUUGUGGUACCAGAGGUAGUCGGUUCAAUCCCGAUCAGUUGCC
Molecule: transfer RNA, 74 nt
Organism: Microscilla marina ATCC 23134
Lineage: Bacteria; Pseudomonadati; Bacteroidota; Cytophagia; Cytophagales; Microscillaceae
Rfam family: tRNA
About the family: Transfer RNA (tRNA) molecules are approximately 80 nucleotides in length. Their secondary structure includes four short double-helical elements and three loops (D, anti-codon, and T loops).
Source: Rfam